RNAcentral lists this ribosomal RNA (250 nucleotides) under uncultured bacterium. RNAcentral describes it as "partial 16S ribosomal RNA". It matches the Rfam family "Bacterial small subunit ribosomal RNA", at positions 355 to 597 of the family's 1533-position model. The record is from RNAcentral.
UGGGGAAUAUUGGACAAUGGGCGCAAGCCUGAUCCAGCAAUGCCGCGUGUGUGAAGAAGGCCUUCGGGUUGUAAAGCACUUUUAUCAGGAACGAAAAGCGUAGGGUUAAUAACCUUGCGUGCUGACGGUACCUGAGGAAUAAGCACCGGCUAACUUCGUGCCAGCAGCCGCGGUAAUACGAAGGGUGCAAGCGUUAAUCGGAAUUACUGGGCGUAAAGCGUGCGUAGAUGGUUCACUCAGUCGGAUGUGA